AGUGGAAUUGCUGGGUCAUAUGGUCAUAUGGUAACUUCAUAUUUAAACUUUUGAGGAACUGCCAGACUGUUUCCCAAAGUCACAGCCCCAGUUUACAUUCCCAUUAGUAGU
RNAcentral lists this microRNA precursor (111 nucleotides) under Marmota monax (woodchuck). The record is from RNAcentral. Lineage: Eukaryota; Metazoa; Chordata; Mammalia; Rodentia; Sciuridae.